UGAGUAACACGUAUCCAACCUGCCGUCUACUCUUGGACAGCCUUCUGAAAGGAAGAUUAAUACAAGAUGGCAUCAUGAGUCCGCAUGUUCACAUGAUUAAAGGUAUUCCGGUAGACGAUGGGGAUGCGUUCCAUUAGAUAGUAGGCGGGGUAACGGCCCACCUAGCCUUCGAUGGAUAGGGGUUCUGAGAGGAAGGUCCCCCACAUUGGAACUGAGACACGGUCCAA
Molecule: ribosomal RNA, 227 nt
Filed under: uncultured bacterium
Lineage: Bacteria
Description: partial 16S ribosomal RNA
Rfam family: Bacterial small subunit ribosomal RNA
Source: RNAcentral